Molecule: long non-coding RNA, 915 nt
Organism: Rhopalosiphum padi (bird cherry-oat aphid)
Lineage: Eukaryota; Metazoa; Arthropoda; Insecta; Hemiptera; Aphididae
Exons: 4
Source: RefSeq, a predicted model, not a curated record
AUAGUAUAAUAGAAUCUUUUUUGUUGCAGGCGACACUGUGUUUCUGCUAUCGGCCACCGUCGGAAUUUUUCUUCGCCGUCUUGUAAACCAGUCGAACCGAUUUCCACAAUCAUUUGAGUUUUGAACACGAUUCAACGUCGACGUACAUCCAGAUACAGCCUACAGUGUGGUCAGUGUUCUGUUCGCUACGCCAUUUGCACGUGUUGUCAACAGUCUUCGUCGCAGUUUUCAACGUUUCGAAGGUCAAUACAAGCGACACUGUGUUUCUGCUAUCGGCCACCGUCGGAAUUUUUCUUCGCCGUCUUGUAAACCAGUCGAACCGAUUUCCACAAUCAUUUGAGUUUUGAACACGAUUCAACGUCGACGUACAUCCAGAUACAGCCUACAGUGUGGUCAGUGUUCUGUUCGCUACGCCAUUUGCACGUGUUGUCAACAGUCUUCGUCGCAGUUUUCAACGUUUCGAAGGUCAAUACAAGCGACACUGUGUUUCUGCUAUCGGCCACCGUCGGAAUUUUUCUUCGCCGUCUUGUAAACCAGUCGAACCGAUUUCCACAAUCAUUUGAGUUUUGAACACGAUUCAACGUCGACGUACAUCCAGAUACAGCCUACAGUGUGGUCAGUGUUCUGUUCGCUACGCCAUUUGCACGUGUUGUCAACAGUCUUCGUCGCAGUUUUCAACGUUUCGAAGGUCAAUACAAGCGACACUGUGUUUCUGCUAUCGGCCACCGUCGGAAUUUUUCUUCGCCGUCUUGUAAACCAGUCGAACCGAUUUCCACAAUCAUUUGAGUUUUGAACACGAUUCAACGUCGACGUACAUCCAGAUACAGCCUACAGUGUGGUCAGUGUUCUGUUCGCUACGCCAUUUGCACGUGUUGUCAACAGUCUUCGUCGCAGUUUUCAACGUUUCGAAGGUCA